UCAAUAUCUUCAAUUUCGGUUAGCAAACGAAAACACAUGUAUAACUUCUACGAUCGUUGACACAAUUAAUUCUCUAGAAUAUAAAAAUUUCUAUGAUUUGCAGUCCAGCACAACACGCCUUUGAAUUGAAACUUCAAAUUCGAGUAGUUUAAAACCUCCCGUCUUCCUCUUCUGAUGAUUGAUUCAAUUUUCAACAAUAUUGCUUCGGAUAAGAGUUGAUGGCGUCGAUUUACUGCUGCGAAGAGUGCGGAGCCAAUUUAAAUCUUCAUUCCAGCCACCUCUACCCGCCGGAUUUCUACUUCGAGGCCGGCAACAAAGGUACCCUCUCGUUUUCUCUAGUCGAUUCCUCCAAAUUUAAGUUCGAUAAAGAAGACAAAAUCCGGCCUUUUUUCGAGACUUUUAAUUACUGGGGCGUCCAAAGGAAACGCACCAAGAUCAAGUGCAAUAGCUGUGGAAAGCUCGUCGGGUAUAUUUACGAUGAUGGUGCGCCCAUGACGGAUAGUCCGGGUCAGUUCCAUAUGGGUCCGAGUCAGGUUGUGCCUAGAAACCCUAGGUACAGGUUCAAGAGCAAGGCUUUAAGGAUUUCUUCUGAGACUUGAUUUGCGGCUGUGUUUGUGUUUUUUUUGCUGGGUUUUGUAGAUAAUGAUGGGGAUUGAUGAGUACGUUUUACGAGAUCUGUUUUGUAUACAUAACCGAAUUUUUGUGUGCCUACAUAUGUAAAUUUAUCGUUAAUUGUUAUACCUGUAAUUCAAAAAAUGAGGAAACGAUGUUUGAACUUAUUGUAUUAGGCAAACACGCUGUUAAUUUCUUUCACAUUUUAUUUCUCCUUUCUUUUCUAUUAUAACCGCAGGGAGGGAGAGAGUGGUGAGCAUGUGAAGUUUUAUUUUUUAAUCAUUAUUGUCUCCACCUGAUUCUCUUUCUUCCCUCCUUCCUCUUCCAUUUCUAGUUUCCAUUUGUAAUUUCACUCAGAAUUUGACUAUAUAUAGUUGGGCAACUGAUUUCAUUUACAAUUUGUGUUAAUCCUUAUGGUAGUGAUUGAAAUUGGGUGGGAAUUAGAAUCCAUUCAUAACACUGAAAUGUUUUCUGAAGGUUCAACAAAUCCAUUGCAUAAUUGUUCCCAAUUUUCAACAAAAUUCAUCGAGAAUCACAUAGUAUUGUCAUGAAAUUCUUAGGAUUACAUUUAUUCAGCGAAUAAUCAUAAAAUCAAACUGCGGCAGCGCAUUAUUUCAAUUGAAGGCUUAAGGCCCUCAAUUCUACAGGGAAUUACCUUUCACUCAUAUGUUUGACCGCAUAUGUUUCAUCCUUGCUCUAGCUUGUGCCAAACUUUCACUUAAAACUUGGUCCAUCUUAUGCCUCUUAUAGCGAUUCUUCCAUUGUUGCUACAAUUAUCUGCUAUUAUGGUCCCAACGCCAAUUGUGGGGGGUUUGAUGCCAUAAGGUGCCUCAAAUGGUGUCAUCUUGAUUGAGGUGUGUACAAUGGUGUUGUACUGCCACACAGCCAAGCUGACCAACUUAAUCCAAUGGUUAGGUUGCUUGUAAGCCAUAUACCUAAGGUACAUUUUGAGACAUUGAUUUACCCUGUCUGUUUGCCCAUCUGUCUAGGGAUGAUAAGCCGAGCUCACCAGUACAACUCUUGCCAAAAGUCAUUUGUGAACAUUUUAUCUCUAUCUGUGAUUAUACUGUGUGCAUCCCGUGUAAUUUGUGGACGUUAUCCAACAAUAACCUUGCUACAUUUGCUGCUGAGAAAGGAUGUGAUAACGUUAGAAAGUGCCCAUAUUUAGUGAAUCUAUCCACCAGAACUAGUAUUACAUUUUUUGCCCAAGAAUUAGGUAAUCCCUUGAUGAAAUCGAUAGAGAUAUGACUCCAAGCAUAUCGUGGCUAUGGGGUGGUGGCUGUAGUAAUUCUAGGUAUGCCACAUGUUUCCCUUUACACCUUUGGGCCUUGGCAUGUGUUACAUUUCAAAACCUCCUAUAUAAUUUCUCUAGUCAUCCCAAGCCAAAACAAAAUUGUUACUUAGCCUUGUGGAUACUAGCCUGUACUCUUGAAUGUCCACCUUCUUGUGAAGAAUUAAUGGCUCCAAUUAUUUUCUUCAUCACUCGUCCUCUAAAGCCAAUGUGAACUCUAGAUUUAUACCUAAGUAGCCCAUUCAAAAAGUGUUAUUCUGGUUCUGCAUUGUCAUUGAGUAACAAGGCAGUGAUUUUGCUUCAGCUUCUCCAUCUCCUUGGUAAUUGGCUAUCACCUCUUAAAUCUAUACUUGGGUUACUAUAGUUACUGCUAAGUAUUCAGCCUCCUUGUCUUCCCUUCUGGAUAAGGCAUUUGCCACUUUAUUGUCCACCUCCUUUUAUAAUGUGUCUUAUAGCUAAGCCCUAAGAGUUUAGACAACCACUUUUGCUGUAAUGGAGUGGUGAUUCUUUGCUCAACUAAGUUCUUAAGUGAUCAGUGGAUUGUUUUGAUAAUGAAAUGGUGUUGUCUCCACUUGCCCACGAAUUUUACUGAGGCUCAUAGUUCUUUUUCAUAAAUUGACAAGCCCAAAUUUCUACUGUUAAUGCCUUUGCUCGAGUAGGCUAUAGGCUUUUGUUCUACAUCAAUACAGAUCCAAUUCCCCCAUAACAUGCAUUUGUUGCCAUGAUAAAUGGUACAGGAAAUCUACUAAAGCCAAUACAGGUGUAGUGCUCAUACCAUUCUUCAAUUCUUGAAAUUCUAACUCAGCAGCCUCACUUCAAAUGAAAUUUUCCUUCUUCAGUAAGUCAGUUAAAGGUUUGGCCAUGGUUCAUUAUCCUCUUACUAACCUCCCAUAGUAACCAGUCAAGCCCAAAAUUCCCCUCUACUGUUUGACAUUGACUGGCUUAGGCCAUUCUUGCAUUGCAAUUACCUCGGAAGGGUCAGCUGUCACUUCUUUUGUAGAGAUAAUAUCACCAAGAUACUCUAUUUUAGGUUGCCCAGAAGUGCACUUGGUCUCUUCAGCAUACUGUUGUUGCUUCUUUAGAAGGUUAAGGACCACGGUAACAUGCUCACAAUGAGUCCAUGUCCACCAGUCAGUGCUAUAGAUUAGGAUAUCAUAAAAAACCACCAAAACAAAUUUCCUGAGCUGUUUCGUAAGUACCUCAUUCAUUGGACAUUGGAAUGUGGUUGGGGCGUUAGUAAGUUCAAAGGGUAUUACUUUGAAUUCAUAAAGGCCUUCAUGGGUCUUAAAGGCUGUUUUAUGAACAUCCUCAUCUGCUACCCUGAUUUGGUGAUAUCCAGUCUUCAAGUCAAUUUUGUGAACCACUUUCUCCUGUUCAAUUCAUCCAAUAAUUCAUCGAUUAGUGGCAUAGGAUAAUUGUCAUUAGUAGUAAGGCUAUUCAAUUGUCUUUAAUUUGCACAAAACCUCUAUGUUCCAUUUUUUUCUUAACCAAAAGUACAGGAGAAACAUUAAUCCGCUGAAUUAUUCCCCAUUCCCUCAUUUCUUUGACCAUCUCUCAAUUUCUACUUUUUAUAUUUGUGGACAUCUGUAUGGCAUGAUCUAAAAUGGCAGUGCUCCCUCCUUAAGUGGUAAAUGGUGAUCAUUGAAUCUAGGGGUGGCAACCCUGUUGGUUCUAAGAAAACCAUGGGAAAUUGAUUCACCACAGCCUUGAAUUCAGCUGGUAUGGGUUCUUGAUCUUUCUCGGUGAUGGCAGUGCCAUCACUCUAUAUAUUUGAUUCCUGAACUAGCACUCUUUUCAGUAUCAAUCAUCAUCUUAAAUUCUUCAUUGAUGGCCUCACUUUUUAGUUCCAUCUUUAAGCACUCAUGAGUGAAUAUGAUGCUUCCUUUAAUGAAAUCUAACAACACAUAAUUGAAUUGGUGGAAUUUGAGAUCCUGCAUUCUCCAUAUUAGUGGAUUACAGAUAUCCCUACUGGCUAGUUUUUCUCCCCUUGUCAUGGUUACUGAUGUGGGUUUAGUCUGCUGCAUCCUGCAGUUGAUGUUUUGGGCUAGUUGUUCAUCAAUCAAGCUAUAGGUACUCUCACUAUCAAUCAAUAUGAUACCCCUUUCUUUUUGAUAAUUCCUGAAAGCCUGAUAAUUUCAUAUCUAUUCCUUUGCUUUUCUUCAUAACACAUUGUUUUGCGUGGAAAAGGAAAAAAAGGCAAAACAAAGAGCUAGAGCUUUACCGGGGAGGUUUGUUGAUAUUGUUGUAAAGCAAAUACAUAAUUGAUAAAUAGAAAUCUCGGAAGAAUGAUAGGACUGAUUGAACUUGUUCCAAACCCUACGUGUCUGGUCAGGUAUAGGUAUAAUUUGUUGGAUCAACCAUCUUCUAGAUGAGAAUUUCAUUUCAUUUCAUUAUCGCUGCAACUUGAUUUUGAUGUGUUGUUUAUGCCAAAUGGUCGUCUUAUCAUUGACAUGUAUAGAAUUUGGUUUCAAUUCAAUAUUGCUGCAAGUUGGUAUUGAUGUCUUUCUAUGCCAAAUGGUUGUCUAAUCAUUCGUACCUGGAUGGUAGCACACCUUAAACUUCCAUUUCUGUUUAUGUCGUCUUCCAUGGUUUUACAUUUAUUUGGACGUGAUGGAAUAGAGCACCAGAAGCGCACAGAUUCUUGGUCGUAUAGUCAAAUAAUGUUUACAUCAAUAUGUUGCAAUUGAAUAUGAAGGCAGGCAGGAUGUCAUCAAGUAUAUAUCGAGCAUAAUAUUCAAAUAUUAAAAAAUGAUGCAAGUAUUUUCUUAACAAUCAUUGUUUGUCUUUUUGCACAAGACCUGCGACUGGACUCUCAAGUCCCAGACUAUACAUAUGUGAAAAUUUGUUUAAUAUGGUAGUUAAUUGAUCAGGUCACAUGUCUUUUUUUUAUUCUUUACGGUUCUUAACUACAAUUGUUGUUGUUGUUGUUGUUGUUGUUGUUGUUGGAUCAUCUCUCUGCUGCUAUAAAAAGGCUGCAGCUCAUUAAAGGCCACAAAGUCUCUCGGUAAGUUUUACCUCUAUGGUGUCAUUCUAGGAUAGAGUUUAUAAAGCGGAAAGUAUCAACUGCAUACUCAAUCAAGUAACACUUGAAAUGCUUAGUUCUUCAUUUUGACUGAAUUUCCCUCCAUGUAUUGAGUAUUCACCUUGUCUUAACAGACAAUAUGAAGAAAAUUUGCUUCUUGAUCUAAGGUAUGAUAAUUGCAUAGAGGACGUCUGGCAAAACUAGAGAGUCAUUUAGUAGAUCUAUCAAGAAGUAUGUCUCUACGUACUUCUCAAUAAUGCCACUUUUUAAUGGCAUUUUUAAGCUUAACCAAACACGCUACAAGUUCCCUUAGUCUAAAUUGCUAUAAAUAUAUUGUCCCUGGAUCAAAAUCAUAAAGUUUAAACUUUCUAGUGAGUUGGGAUUUUAGUUUGGGUAGUCAUCAAGUUCGUCCCAAUUACUGGUGAUCACUAGGGUCUAUUUCUUUUGCAGAUAUAAUUGUCAAAAAUCUCAAGUUCUCAUAUUUCAGUUUUUAGGUAUAUGAACUAGGACGAAAUACAGUUUCUUUUCCCACAGCUCAUUAAAUUCUGCAAUAAAACAACGAAGUUGAGUUCAGAACCUUGUAUCUGAGGGUGGAUUAGUCAAUUCGAGUACCACUGACUCACACAUGGUAGUUGCUAUAGUAGGAGGCCUACAAUAACAUUAUGCAUAGUUUUAAAUUCCAUAUUGGGGUAUAUAUGCAUGCUGUAAUACAAGAAAAUCAUCUAUUUUGUUACUAUCAUUUCUUUAAUUUCAUUUUUUUUUUUCCAAUCUACACAUGAAAAUUUUAUAUUCUAGAUCAAAUUAUAUAUAAAAUUCAAUAAUCAAGUACAAAAUAUCCAAUGUCGACAUGGAAAAUAUAUUUAAUGCCAAAUAAUUAAAAACUUCAAUUUUAUCUCAAUUUUAUUGUUUGAUACUUGGAAACCUUUACAUAACUUUCUAAGCAAUGAUCCACUGCUCUUACUAGUUACCCAUCGAUUCAAACAGUGACCUGUGACCUUGACCUGUUCAAUGUCUGAUUUGGGUCUGAAAACUAAGUGAAACACAGGAAGAAAGUCUUGGAUUUCGAUGUUUCAUUAAAAAUAUGGGAUUUGCAGGUGAUCAUUUAGUUCCUUUGAACUUCCCAAUGAACUGAGCCCAUAGAGGAUCAUGUGUUCUACAUCCUUUGCUUUGUCUAGAUAACAAAUCAAAGCCCUAUUAGUUGUAGCCAAAAAUAACCACAUACACACACAUUCAUGUGUAAAUGCAUGAUUUUUUUCAAGAAAUGCUUAGUAGGUGUCGAUAUGGUUGUUAUUGUGGCAUGACCAGAAUGGGGCUACACGUUUGCCACUAUGCUCUGUAGAAGGGGUUGCUAGGACUGCCAUUGAAAGAAAAGGAAAUAAAAUAACAAAAACACUAAGGGGUCACCUUAACUAUUAUAGUUUGUUAAAACCAGAUGAUAUGUUGCAUAUUUUCUUGGAUAAGCUGGGCAUGAAACUGCAUCCUGUUAAAUAUUGCAAUGUUUUGGUUGUUUGAUAUAGAGCUUGUCCUUGUUUGUCUUUCAUCAUUGUGAUGCAAAUUGGAAAGUAUAUUCUAGGCAUAAACAGAAUCAAAUCAAUUAAGGAUUGAAUUUUCAUUAUUGCAUUUUAUUGUUUUUCGUAGAAUAGUAAAUUUGUCUCCUUGUAAAAGGAAAUUCAAGUUCUCCUUUUCAUUUUUAAUUAGGACCUAUAAAUUGAGGUUUUUUGGUUGUAAGAAGACAGACCUGAAUAUUGAAUAAACCUACAAUCUUUCCCUCAUUUCUCUCGUCCUACUUCUUUCUCCUUCUUUAUUGCUCUCGUUCAUUGCCAUCGGCAUCACAUUGUUUCUAACUUAUGCAGAUGUGAGUUCAGAAUACAAGUGGAGAGUAUGAACUUUCUUGCUGUGCAAAUGAAAAGCUCAAUUUUUAUCAACAUCCCCUGGGAUUAUAUCAUAAAAAAAUGUAGAUUGUAAGGCAUAUUUCUUGUCCUUGAUGAUAUACUUGUUACCCUUUUGUCGUGUUAUCAGGACUCUCGUCUAAGUUUUCGUUGAGGUAUACUCAGCAGAAUAUUAAGAGUUAAACCCUGGAUUUAAUGUCUAGGACCUAACUUGUAUACAUACCAAACCAAACUGAUAUAACCUAAAUUGUAAUUCUAUUAUGUUGGUGAUUAACUCAGUGUAAGUGUCUGGUAUGCAGGAACAUGACUACCGACAAUUUGAAUACUCCUUGAAGAAGAAUGGUAAGCGUGAGAAGAACAACAAAGUGGAAAGGGUGACAAUAAAUAGAUGCGGGUGGGAGUCAAGGACUGGUGAGUUGAAAUAUUUAAAUGCGACGACUGAGAUCUAGUAAAUUAUUUUUCGUGUUCAACUAAGAUACACACCUAGGGCAUGAUGUGCAAUUGGCAAUUUAAUUUGAUAGCAUUGAGGAUAGAGGCAUGUUGUUUUCUAGUCGAGUAUAACUAACAUUUUUUCGACUGAUUGCAGGUGGAUCAAGACCGAAUAUUCGUACCUAGACCAGCCAACCAUAAACACGGCAGAUAAUCCUAGGGUAUGAUAUUCCUAUACUCCAAAUCUUAUGUGACGAGUCCAAUCCCCAACAAGAUCCAACAGAUGUAUUUGUUUGAUAUUUAAUUUUGAUACGAAUUGGACAUGAUUCGAUACGCUUUCAACAUGUUUCUGGCAUAUAAAUGUCUUUCUAAUAUACCAUGUGAUGUGCCUUGUAUGUUUAAUUUUUGACACAGAAAUUGUGUCUAUACAUCGUUUACAUUUUUCUUCCUCAUUUCUAAUGGAAUUAAGCUUUGUUGUUAGAUGAAUUUGGCAUUUUUAUUGAUAGAAGAUGUGUAAAAAAAUGAUUGGAUGACAUUGUUGACUAUUUUUUAAAUGGUCGAAUAAAAUUC
RNAcentral lists this long non-coding RNA (7813 nucleotides) under Olea europaea subsp. europaea. Lineage: Eukaryota; Viridiplantae; Streptophyta; Magnoliopsida; Lamiales; Oleaceae. The record is from RNAcentral.